This is a long non-coding RNA of Capra hircus (goat), 4629 nucleotides long. Lineage: Eukaryota; Metazoa; Chordata; Mammalia; Artiodactyla; Bovidae. The record is from Ensembl.
AUGAUCAGACAAAAAACGAGAGGGAAAAAAAGCUACAAAGAACCUAGUGGCAUGAAAAAGCGACACAGCAAGAAAAGACAAAUAGAUUUCAAAGAGUUUUCUACUGCCCCUCCUAUCUCCUGUCAUAGAUUCAGUUUUCCAGGAAGUCAGCAUACAGUGAGCCAACAGCUAUCCUGUCUCCUCCGAGAAAAAGCAAAUUGGUUUCCAUCGCUACCUGGCCCGCAGAAUCAGUUUACAGGAUGGUUUGCCAUUUCUGCUAAAAGGGGACUCCAUACUGUAAACUGGGGCUUCUGUGGUGACUCAGAUGGUAAAGAAUCUGCCUGCAAUGCAGGAGACCUGGGUUCGAUCCCUGGGUCAGGAACAUCCCCUGGAGAAGGGAAUGGCAACCUGCUCUAGUAUUUUUGCCUGGAGAAUCCCACGGACAGAGGAACCUGAUGGGCUACAGUCCAUGGGGUUGCAAAGAAUCAGACAUGACUGAGUGACUAGCACACACAUACUGUAAACUAACCUGGUUGAAAUAAAAUCUAAAGACCUCUUUGAUUCCCCUUUUGCUUUUGUUACCCUGUGUCAACAUCACUAUAUUCAAUCCAGUUCAAUUUAUUUUGCUUCCAAAGCAUGCCUCGAUUUCCAUCACUCCUCUGACAGUGAUGACUAGUUGACCCACAAUGUCUGCCCGUUCCUCCUCAUAAGGGUCCUCAAUUUUUAACUCAGCACAUGGCUGUCCAUUACAAAGACUGCUUUCUCAGCCUUCCUUGUAGAUAGAUAUAACCCUGUGACCAAAUUCUCACCAGUAUGCCAAGUUUAAGGUAUUACUUCAGAUAAGCGUCCUUAAUAGGCAUGGCCAGGCCCUUUACUUCCAUUCUCUUUUCUACUAUUUAGAAUAUAGACACUAUGCCUGGAAGCCGGGCAGCCAUUGGAGCACAUAUAAGUAUAUCCCAAAUAUUACAUUCAGUGUUGUUUGUUGUUUAUAUGAAAUUCAGAUUUAAUGGGAUCCUUUGUGUUUUUUGCUACAUCCGGUAAUUAGCUUAAUUUCAACACGAGUUCAUAAGGCAUCCAUGUAAGGCAACAGUAAAAUUCUAGUUGCCCAACAUCCCCUUCAGAAAUCAGCCAAAAAUUUCUCCUUCAAACACUGGCUACCAACAUUAGUGUCUUAUGUACAUUGGCUCUGCUAAUUACACCAGAAUCAACAGUUAGGUCUAAAGGUCAUGGGGUGGCCUUUAGAUUUUGAAAGACCCAGAUAUGGAAAUGUUUUCAGAAUAGAUAGCAACUAACAAUGGCAACCCACUCCAGUACUCUUGCCUGGAAAAUCCCAUGGGCAGAGGAGCCUGGUAGGCUGCAGUCCAUGGGGUCGCUAAGAGUCAGACAUGACUGAGCGACUUCAUUUUCACUUUUCAGUUUCAUGCAUUGGAGAAGGAAAUGGCAACCCACUCCCGUGUUCUUGCCUGGAGAAUCCCAGGGAUGGGGGAGCCUGGUGGGCUGCCGUCUAUGAAGUCGCACAUAGUCGGACACGAUUGAAGCAACUUAGCGGCAGCAGCAGCAGCCUAAUCAUCUAUCUUCAGAAAAUACUGAUUAUGAAUCACAUGGAGAGAGAAAAAUACCUGCAAAAACAGAAGUAGGACCAGAGGAAGUAAAGAGAGAGGGUGCUAAACUGGAGUCUCUAAAGGAACAGCCAUAAAGGUCCAGAUGACAGGGUGUACCCCAAAGCCUUCUGCCUCCAGCCCUGCUGACCCUCAUCCACCAGGUGGUCUAAACUGUCUGCCUUUUUUGCUGUCCUCUUUCUAAUCUAUGAUUAAGGCUUGAAUCUUGGCCCUGCUUCCCUUGAGGCCUUCUCUUUUACAUAAAGCAUGCUUGGAAAUCACCCAAACUUGAAAAAUGGCCAUGUCCCUGCAUUUCAAUGUCUAUGUCCUGAUCCCCCUGCUCUGUUUUGUUUUGUUUUUGACUGCUUGACUGUGGGAUCUUAGUUCCCCAAUCAGGGAUUGAACCCAGGCUGUAUGGCAGUAAAAGUUUGGAGUCCUAACCCCUGGACCACCAGGGAAUUCCCAGUCCUGCUGUGACUUUGAAAAUACAAAUACAUUGGCUUGAGACCUCCCAAUCCACCCCUAUGUGAUUGAGACCUCCGAGUCCACCCCUAUGUGGUCAGUAACUUCUGUUUAGUGCACAUUGUGUCCAUGGCCCUAUGCCCGGCCUUCCAGAGCUGUAAAAGUGGCUGCGAUUAUUCUUCUUUCAAAGAGCUGGAUCUAAGAGGACUAGAAGGGUUGACAUUGGAAGGAAGAAAGAAAGGAGGCUGGUCAACAUGAGAUUGUGGGGUGAGAUAAGGGAAUUUUAAAACAUGCACCCGUAUGGCUGCAAUCUUCUGAGUUACUGGGAAACAAAUAAUGUGUUGGGAAAAGGGGGGCUUGUGGGCUCCAGUUAUUGGGAAACAUUUGAAAGUCCCACUGUGGGAACUGACAAAGAAGAAUUCCACAUAUUCUCUUUUUAAAAAAAAAUUGGCCGUCUUUUAGAAGCAGGUUUGAGUACUCAAGCCCGCAAGUUCCUGUUAACUUUUGACAUAAAACAUAGAUUGAGUUUGAGUCAUAUCUUUAAAAAAGAAUGACUGUAGUUACCAUUCUCCCCUUCCUCAUGAGUUUUGUCUUAACUAACCUUGACUUCCUACCCCCCUGUUAGAAUUAAGACUGCUUCUGGGCCAGAGAGUAAAGCAGAGGAAGGGAAGAAAAUGAGGACCUGGCGUGUGCCAGGUACCGCUUCGUGUUUUACUCACAUGUUUUUCCUGGUCUUCAAAACCAGCCUCUGAUGUAGGCAUUACUAUUUGUUAGAGGCAGAAGAAAACUAGGCUUCCCAGGUGGUGCUAGCAGUUAAAAAACCCACCUGCCAGUGCAGGAGACAUGAGACAUGGUUCAAUCCCUGGGUCAGGAAGGUCCACUGGAGGAGGGCUGGCAGCCCACUCCAGUAUUGCCUGUAGAAUCCAAUGGACAGGGGAGCCUGGUGGGUUACGGUUGAUAGGGUCCCGAAGAGUCGGACACAACUGAAGUGACUUAGCAUGCACACCAAAGAAAACCAAGACUCAAAAGAGUUUCAGGUUACCCGUGAUUAUUCAGCUUGUACUAUAGAGUCAUCUCUCCUUCCAGAGUACCAUCCUGUCUUCUUUAGAGCUUUCUUUCACGAACCUUUCCCACCCAAUCCUUCUGGCCUCCAAUUUAAGGGAUACUGUUUUUACCCUGAGCUGUCCAUAACCAUAGCACCCCACAAGGACAAUUGGUUCUCUGCUUUAUACCUUGGCCUACCUUAGAGCUCUCUCAUUAGCUCAGAGGCUAGUUUUGGUUUUUCCAUCUGAAAAAUGGCAGAAGACUGCUUUCCCUGUAGAUUUAUGAGAAUGAAAUUGCGAGCAGUAAAUAAAUGACAGUCAAAAUGCCUGGUGCUUCUCCUUUUUUUUUUUUUUUUUCAUAUUUGAGCACCUUCUGCUCCAUUGGCAGAGGGUGUAAGUAGAAAUGAGCUUAUCAGAUGAGUUCAGCCCAGCUAAGGUGUUAGCUUGUUGAUAAUUACUUCUGCCCAAUUAAAAUGUAAAAUGUGCCAUUUCUUGUUUGCUUAAGGUGGCUAUUCUGAUUACAUCUGAGACAGUAUGUAUAUAUACAUACAUAUAUAUACACACGCACACACGCACACACACAUAUAUAUAUAUAUAUCCUGAGACUGCUGUUAGUAUUGUUUAGUUAUCACAUAGUAAAUAGCAAGGCACCUCAGCUGUUGGCCCUGGACCUGACCAAAAAUAUCUUAAAUCACAAAUGCUUCCUCUUAUUCUUUCUUUAAAAUUAAAAAAAUUGCACUUAUUUUUCCUUUAGUUUCUCUUUCUCCUAAGAAGCCAGUUUAUAAUGUCAACCUAGCAUUCACUUUACACAUACAGACAUGGCAAGCAAGAAUGCUUAUUGAAAAAAAAAAAAUUGCUGUUGACUGAAGAGUGACCCAAUAGUAGAGACCAUUGUUAAAUGUAAAUCUUUUUCUUAAUAAAGUACAAUUUUAGGUAAGGCCUGGAUGUAAUUAUUUUGAAGCAGCUUUAAAAAUGGUGGAACAGAUGGCUCUGAUUAUCUCCAAGAGGAAGGAAAAGAUUCAAGAGUUUUGUCAUUUCUUGUUUAAUAGUCUUGGCAUUCCUUAUUCACACUUGAGUUUUGAAUACUCUGGCUUAUAAAUUCACAAUCCCAUGCUAAACCUUAGUUCAUUCUCAUGAUCUGACCCUACUUCCCAUGCCAAGAUUUGAGACUCCAUCUCUGUUUCUGAUUCACUGGCUUUUCCAACAUUUCAUUUUCUGAUUAGCCUCUGAACCUAGAUUUCCCCCCACGCCCCCCAACUAUUUCUGUUCAUUAAGGGGAAGUUAUAGACACCCCAAAACUCUUUUCUGGGUGGUUUGGGCCAGGCUGGUUCUUAGAAAAGCCACAAAAGUCCUAGUCUGAAAUAAAGUCUAUCCACACCACCUCUCCACCACCACCAGGUUCUGCUGUUUCUACCUGUUACAGAAGAGGUCCAGGAAGACAGAGAGAGAUAGACCAGCAUAGGACUUUACUAGGACAGAGUCCGAGGAUUAGUGCCAGGGGGUUGAAACAGACAGAGGGAGAAGUUGGCUCGGGAUGCAACCUCAAC